GCCGGUGACUACACCAGUCUGAAAAUGCCUGAUCUUGUCAGAUCUAAGCAGUCAUCCAGACAUAUGCCUGAUUAGUACUCGUAUGGAAGACCAACUUGGAACCCCAGGUCCGCAGGCU
This is a non-coding RNA of Pelobates cultripes (western spadefoot toad), 118 nucleotides long. NCBI's taxonomy places the organism in Eukaryota, Metazoa, Chordata, Amphibia, Anura, Pelobatidae. The record is from the annotation of a GenBank genome assembly.